Non-coding RNA from Punica granatum (pomegranate), 1487 nucleotides. The record is from RefSeq and is a predicted model, not a curated record. Lineage: Eukaryota; Viridiplantae; Streptophyta; Magnoliopsida; Myrtales; Lythraceae.
UUGCAGGAAUAUAUUAAUGGACGCUCAAUCAGAAUUUGAAGGACAUGAUUGACACUGCUUGGAGCCUGCAUUACAGGAUGGUUCAUCGAGGCCUGAACAGGAUUAACAGAGCAGGGUCCUUCAUUAAUUAAUCGUCGAUAUGUGGGACAUUGCAGAUCAAGUUGGCUUGGCCGGCUUGGUGUGGGUCUCGUUCAGGACAGAUUAUGUUAUGCAAAGAUAGAAUCCGAAUUUGCUGAACUCUCGAUGCCAUCCAGAUGUGCAUCUAGCAGCUCAAUCAUCCUUCCCCUCGAAAGGGGACAACCGUUCCGAGUUGUCAGCAGAAUAACCCCGAAUUCAUGUUCAGAAGCUUCAAAGUUACUUCGACGGCAGCACCUGUUUGUCGCUCAUUCUUCCAUGUCGAUGGAUCUGGUCCUGAAGACACCAGCUGAGAUGCUGAAGCAGCUUUAUCCUAUUGGAGGCUCAGCUGAGCUGCUGUGGAGCUGAAUCCCUCUGUUUGUAUGCUCAGGCUAGUGUGAAGACAUGCUGCCCGAUUGCCGUCAAUUCGAAGGACCAGCCACUUAUGAACUCCGACAAUCGAAUUUCUAUAGCAUAGAGAAAAUGGAGACUCUCUCUUGGUGGAUUCGGCACCUCUCUAACUUGAAAGAGGACUCUUUUUACUGCAGAAAUCUGAAGGCUUUGCCUGAGUGGUUUCCCAAUCUCACCUCACUCCAAAGUCUUACAGUUUUUGGUGGUGGGAAGGAGCUGUCAAGAAGGCGCCCGGAUAAUACCGGAGAGGACCGGCCUAAGAUUUCCCACAUCCAGUUUGUGGAUGUAUCUGGAGAGUGGAGUAAAUCCUCCCUCACUCACUGCCUCUAAAGAUGAUAUAUAUGAAGGGCCUUCACUCCAACCUAUUUACAGUAUUUAGCUCAAGCUCUUCAUGUGCAGUACCAUUUCUUGUAAAUGGCAAAUUAUGAUGUGCCUCUAGCAGCUCAAUCAUCCUUCCCCUCAAAAGGAGACAACCAUUCCGAGUUGUCAGCAAAAGAACCUGGAAUUCAUGUUCAGAUGCUUCACAGAUCUUUUGUAGUUACUCCGAUGGCAGCACUUGCAUGGCUUCUGGUGUCUCCACUUUCAGUUUGUCGCUCAUUGUUCCCUGUCAAUGGAUCUGGUUCUGAGGGCACCAGCUGAGAUGCCGAAACAGCUUUAUCUCAAUGGAGGCUGAGCUGCUGUCGAGCUGAUGGCUCUGUUUGCAUGGAGGGAAAUAAUAAGGUUCUCAGCUUCAGGAUUUCGGAUCUAGCACGAGUCACGGUCUAGAGAGGAUUCUGUAUCGUGGUCACUGUGAUCCAAGAGAACAUGGCAUCUAGCUUCUGGCCUUUUUCUCCACUUUGUUUAUAACGUAAAUGAUGGAGAACGAAAAAUGUUGUUUGUUAACAGUGAUUUCUUUUACAUGUAAAAUUAGCCCGUGCAUUGCAUGGGUAUAAUUUAUGCUUCCACAUGGUCGCGUUGCAGUA